This 497-nucleotide ribosomal RNA is filed under the name uncultured bacterium. RNAcentral describes it as "partial 16S ribosomal RNA". It matches the Rfam family "Bacterial small subunit ribosomal RNA", at positions 28 to 507 of the family's 1533-position model. The record is from RNAcentral.
GAUGAGCGCUGGCGGCGUGCCUAAUACAUGCAAGUCGAGCGAACAGACGAGGAGCUUGCUCCUCUGACGUUAGCGGCGGACGGGUGAGUAACACGUGGAUAACCUACCUAUAAGACUGGGAUAACUUCGGGAAACCGGAGCUAAUACCGGAUAAUAUAUUGAACCGCAUGGUUCAAUAGUGAAAGACGGUUUUGCUGUCACUUAUAGAUGGAUCCGCGCCGCAUUAGCUAGUUGGUAAGGUAACGGCUUACCAAGGCAACGAUGCGUAGCCGACCUGAGAGGGUGACCGGCCACACUGGAACUGAGACACGGUCCAGACUCCUACGGGAGGCAGCAGUAGGGAAUCUUCCGCAAUGGGCGAAAGCCUGACGGAGCAACGCCGCGUGAGUGAUGAAGGUCUUCGGAUCGUAAAACUCUGUUAUUAGGGAAGAACAAAUGUGUAAGUAACUAUGCACGUCUUGACGGUACCUAAUCAGAAAGCCACGGCUAACUACGUG